CUGUUAUCGCUGUGGCCAGUAUAAUUGAGCCCUCUGUCUGGGAGGAGCCAUGCGACGGCUGUGCUGGCCGCCAUCUGUCCCUCAUUCCGAGCAGCCAUGCAUCUUCCUGCACCCUACUCUCCCCCAGCAGCCUGACCUGCUUCUACCGUGGAGUGUGAUCGACACAGGGCGUGUGGCUCCCCAGGGACCUAGCAGUCACAGGAGAGAGUGUGACUUGGUGAUUCACCAUGGGAAACAUGCAUUUGGCCUUCCCAUUGCUGACCCAGGGCUGAUACAGCCCCGGGGGUUUCCUCAGUGAGGAGAGAGGUAAAGGCAAACAGCACCCCGCCCCGUUCAUCGAGCCCCUGCACCAGCUGAGUCCCUGGCCCUGUGGGGCUGGCUGCAGGGGAGCAGCCCAGGAUAGCAGGCCGAAACUUUCACACCCCUCCCCAACCCACACCUCCACGGAGCGAGAAGGGCUGGAGACCGACUUCACCCGUGACCAGGACAGUGGUGCCAGCGUCAUGGAGCCUCCAUGAAACCCAAGAGGACAGAUUCACUGACUGUUGACCACACACCGUGCUGAGGGAGCCCAGAGAGGGCCUGGACAUGCCGUGCCACCUCCCAAACCUUGCCCUGUCCAUCUCCUCAUCUGGCUCUUCCCGAGUCGCAGUCUUUACGACAGACCAGUCAUGGAAGGACAAACCUUUCCCAGGUCUGCGAGCUGCCCUAGCAGUGAGUGAGCUUGAGGAGGAGUGGCACCUGCACCGGUCAGAAGCACAGGUGGCCAUCUGGACUGGAGAGUGGCCUCUGAAGUAGGCAGAGGCUGAGUCCCCCACCUGUGGGGCCUGAGGACCUCUCCCAGUCACAGAUUGCAGGACACCCCUGUGGUAUCUGCAUCAGCCACUGGGGUGUUUCUUUAAGGGUCUGAACCACGUUUUUGCCGAAACUUUCCCCUGGGGCCUACAGAUGUCCCCUGAGUGAGGCCUGGUACAGUGGGCACACUUGUGGUUCAAGCCACUCUGGAGGCUGAGGCAGGAGGAUGGCAAGUUUGAGGCCAGUCUGUGCAACUGGGUGAGACUCUGUCUCUCCGUGGUAGAGUCCCCAGGACUGCUGUAAAAACACAUUCCCUGGGUGACCGGAAGGGGACGGGAAGCCCUGGCCUCCCCGACUUCAGGGGGCCUGUCCCCUUUGCUGCCUUGGCCUUCCUUUCUGAUUCUGCUCAGCUCUGCACGCGGAUCUCUUGAACUUGGCCCAGACCCCUUGGUCUCCCGCGACCCCCCUCAGGCGCCAGGACAGGAAGCCACCGACCACACAAGGAGUGGACAUGGAAAGAGGUGGUGUCUGCGUCCCUGGGAGCCUCUGCCCACUCCCAGGGCCGGGUGAACGUCCUCCCUGUGCACCUGUCCCUGCCCACCUGUCACCCUCCACCCAGGAGGGGGAAGCCGGCUUGUGAGACAGCCCUGCUCCGCUCUGUCACUGAAGGAAGCCUCUCUCCUCAGCUUGUCUCCUCGGGGUGAGCCUCCAGCCUGGGGGUCCUC
This 1520-nucleotide long non-coding RNA is filed under the name Marmota monax (woodchuck). The record is from RNAcentral. Lineage: Eukaryota; Metazoa; Chordata; Mammalia; Rodentia; Sciuridae.